GCGCAGCAGGCUAGAAUUUUUCUCAAUGGGGGAAACCCUGAAGGAGCGACGCCGCGUGGAGGAUGAAGGUCUUCGGAUUGUAAACUCCUGUCAUUUGGGAACAAGUUGCAUCGGUUAACUGCCGGUGCAUUGAUAGUACCAGAAGAGGAAGAGACGGCUAACUCUGUGCCAGCAGCCGCGGUAAUACAGAGGUCUCAAGCGUUGUUCGGAUUCAUUGGGCGUAAAGGGUGCGUAGGUGGCGCCGUAAGUCAGGUGUGAAAUCUCGGGGCUCAACCCCGAAACUGCACUUGAUACUGCGGUGCUCGAGUACUGGAGAGGAGAUUGGAAUUUACGGUGUAGCAGUGAAAUGCGUAGAUAUCGUAAGGAAGACCAGUGGCGAAGGCGAAUCUCUGGACAGUUACUGACACUGAGGCACGAAGGCCAGGGGAGCAGACGGGAUUAGAUACCCGGGUAGU
Molecule: ribosomal RNA, 455 nt
Filed under: uncultured organism
Description: bacterial SSU rRNA
Rfam family: Bacterial small subunit ribosomal RNA
Source: RNAcentral